GAUGAACGCUAGCGGCAGGCUUAAUACAUGCAAGUCGAGGGGCAGCAUGGUGGUAGCAAUACCACUGAUGGCGACCGGCAAACGGGUGCGGAACACGUACGCAACUUACCCUUAACUGGGGGAUAGCCCGGGGAAACCCGGAUUAAUACCUCGUAACAUAUUGUGGUGGCAUCACCAUAUUAUUAUAGCUUUAUUGUGGUUAAGGAUGGGCGUGCGGCUGAUUAGGUAGUUGGCAGGGUAACGGCCUACCAAGCCUGCGAUCAGUAACUGGUGUGAGAGCACGACCAGUCACACGGGCACUGAGACACGGGCCCGACUCCUACGGGAGGCAGCAGUAAGGAAUAUUGGUCAAUGGACGCAAGUCUGAACCAGCCAUGCCGCGUGGAGGAUGAAGGCCCUCUGGGUUGUAAACUUCUUUUAUCUGGGACGAACCACCUUUUUCUAAGGUGUUGACGGUACCAGAGGAAUAAGCACCGGCUAACUCCGUGCCAGCAGCCGCCGCUGUAA
Molecule: ribosomal RNA, 507 nt
Filed under: uncultured bacterium
Lineage: Bacteria
Description: bacterial SSU rRNA
Rfam family: Bacterial small subunit ribosomal RNA
Source: RNAcentral